UACGGAGGAUGCGAGCGUUAUCCGGAUUUAUUGGGUUUAAAGGGUGCGCAGGCGGAUUUUUAAGUCAGCGGUCAAAUCGUGGGGCUCAACCCCAUCCAGCCGUUGAAACUGGGGAUCUAGAGUGUGCGAGAGGUAUGCGGAAUGCGUGGUGUAGCGGUGAAAUGCUUAGAUAUCACGAAGAACUCCGAUUGCGAAGGCAGCUCACUGGACUGCAACUGACACUGAGGCUCGAAAGUGUGGGUAUCAAACAGG
This 252-nucleotide ribosomal RNA is filed under the name uncultured Bacteroidales bacterium. RNAcentral's name for it is "partial 16S ribosomal RNA". It matches the Rfam family "Bacterial small subunit ribosomal RNA", at positions 524 to 776 of the family's 1533-position model. The record is from RNAcentral. Lineage: Bacteria; Pseudomonadati; Bacteroidota; Bacteroidia; Bacteroidales.